RNAcentral lists this ribosomal RNA (463 nucleotides) under uncultured bacterium. RNAcentral describes it as "partial 16S ribosomal RNA". It matches the Rfam family "Bacterial small subunit ribosomal RNA", at positions 28 to 507 of the family's 1533-position model. The record is from RNAcentral.
GACGAACGCUGGCGGCGUGCUUAACACAUGCAAGUCGAACGGAAAGGCCUUUUCGGAGGUACUCGAGUGGCGAGCGGGUGAGUAACACGUGGGUGAUCUGCCCUGCACUCUGGGAUAAGCCUGGGAAACUGGGUCUAAUACCGGAUAGGACCGCACUUUAGUGUGUGUGGUGGAAAGUUUUUUCGGUGUAGGAUGAGCCCGCGGCCUAUCAACUUGUUGGUGGGGUAAUGGCCUACCAAGGCGGCGACGGGUAGCCGGACUGAGAGGUUGGUCGGCCACAUUGGGACUGAGAUACGGCCCAGACUCCUACGGGAGGCAGCAGUGGGGAAUAUUGCACAAUGGGCGCAAGCCUGAUGCAGCGACGCCGCGUGGGGGAUGACGGCCUUCGGGUUGUAAACUCCUUUCGCCAGGGACGAAGCGUUUUGUGACGGUACCUGGAGAAGAAGCACCGGCUAACUACGUG